CGGUGAAUAGCGCAGUUUGGUAGCGCAUCUCAGGCUCUGAGAAUAGCGGACCAGAGGGGCGGGGGCUGGAAGCCCAGCCGCGCCGAAUCCCUGUUCACCGGCCA
RNAcentral lists this transfer RNA (104 nucleotides) under Photobacterium gaetbulicola Gung47. Its description in RNAcentral is "tRNA-Und (NNN) (tRNA-Und-NNN-1-1)". The record is from RNAcentral. Lineage: Bacteria; Pseudomonadati; Pseudomonadota; Gammaproteobacteria; Vibrionales; Vibrionaceae.